GUCUGAGGUAAGACAUCCAAGAAGGAACUGGCCCAUGGAGAAAAGGCAAACACUUUUUGGCCUUUGCUUCCUGAUUCAUAAAUACUCCCCAGGUGAGUAUUACUGAUGUGCUGGAUUAUGAUGCCACCAGAGAGAAAACAUCUACAGAAGAGAGAUGAGAAAACAAGUUCAGAAAAAAAGACAUACAUCAUCAUCCAACCAGAUGGAGGCAAAGCCUGGUGGAACAUAGGUCACCAGCUUCAGACUUCCUGCUUUUUCUGUUUACCUACCUUAUGGCUACGAAGAGUAUUUGAAGACAGAGAAAACCAGAAUGAAAGUGGUUCAAAGAGUGCUGGAUUUGAAGUCUGGUACCUGGGACAAAUCCCAGCUCUACCACUGAUUACCUGAGUGACCUUGGGAAACUCAUGUAGCCUUUACUGCUUUCAAUGUCUUCAUCCAUAAAAUGAUGAGGUUGGACUAGAUGGCCUUUGAAUGUUCUUCCAGCUCUGAAUUUAUAAUCCUAGGAUUCUACCCAAGUGGAUAAAUUUCUAUUUUGCUGCAGACUUUGUUCAAUCUCCUUGCCAGGGCUUGUGAGGUUGACAGUCCUAAGUACAGUCCUCUGUUUCUCUUGAUUUGGGUUAAGAUGUGAGAUUUUAUUGAUAUUGGGAAUUCUCUCUGAGAAGAUCUCUCUUAACAGUGAAGAGAAACUCUAUCUAGCCUUAAGGAGUUACCUGGGGCAGUGAGAGGCAAAUAUCAGUAUGUGUCAGAAGAGAAACUUCAACAUGAAUCUCCCUAACUCCAAGGUCAGCUUUCUAUCUACUACAUCACAGUCUAAUGUUAUACAGAAUAUCAUUCACAGACUUGGAAAGGACCCAGAAGUCAUCAGUAGGUUUAUACCAUAUCUGAAGGUAUCAGCUUCUGGCCCCUAUCUCCCCUUUGUUAGCAAUAAAAGCAAUUAUUUAAGCCUGUAAUUGCA
Long non-coding RNA from Monodelphis domestica (gray short-tailed opossum), 955 nucleotides. The record is from Ensembl. NCBI's taxonomy places the organism in Eukaryota, Metazoa, Chordata, Mammalia, Didelphimorphia, Didelphidae.